This 87-nucleotide signal recognition particle RNA is filed under the name marine eukaryotic metagenome. Its description in RNAcentral is "Bacterial small signal recognition particle RNA". It matches the Rfam family "Bacterial small signal recognition particle RNA", at positions 5 to 90 of the family's 97-position model. Rfam says of the family: The signal recognition particle (SRP) is a universally conserved ribonucleoprotein involved in the co-translational targeting of proteins to membranes. Archaeal SRP consists of a 7S RNA and homologues of the eukaryotic SRP19 and SRP54 proteins. The record is from RNAcentral.
UGGUCCUCUCGCAAUAAAUAGUGGUGAACCCCGCCAGGCCCGGAAGGGAGCAACGGUAACUAGGACUUUAUGUGCCGGGAUGUGGCU